Small nucleolar RNA from Cyprinus carpio carpio, 69 nucleotides. Lineage: Eukaryota; Metazoa; Chordata; Actinopteri; Cypriniformes; Cyprinidae. The record is from Ensembl.
GAGGCAAGAGGAAAAUAAAAAAUACCAUCUAAACUUUUCUGAAGACAGUAAGUUCCCCUCAGACAUACU